RNAcentral lists this signal recognition particle RNA (272 nucleotides) under Candidatus Woesearchaeota archaeon. RNAcentral's name for it is "signal recognition particle sRNA". It matches the Rfam family "Archaeal signal recognition particle RNA". Lineage: Archaea; Nanobdellati; Candidatus Woesearchaeota. The record is from RNAcentral.
UUGCAGGCUAGGUUGGGAGGUUAGCCCUCUCCUGUUACUGUAAACGGGCUUCAGACAGAACCGAAGUUCAUAAGGCGAUAUGGAUUUCAAGUAUUGGUCUUAAUCUGUACGUUGAGGUCUUGUCCUGAUUGGUUAAUGAUAUUGAGAAUCGUGUGAGGUUAGGAAUAAAGCAACACUAAUCAUUAUUGUUGGCGCUUUCGGGGUUGCAGGGCUGAGGAAGGAUUGAGGUAACUAAUAUUUGUAUUUAUAUCCACUUCUGGACAUGCCUGCAA